This is an RNA transcript of Spinacia oleracea (spinach), 3661 nucleotides long. It is a transcript of the gene named protein-S-isoprenylcysteine O-methyltransferase A, with no coding region annotated. The record is from RefSeq and is a predicted model, not a curated record. The transcript is spliced from 4 exons. NCBI's taxonomy places the organism in Eukaryota, Viridiplantae, Streptophyta, Magnoliopsida, Caryophyllales, Amaranthaceae.
GGACAUUAACUCGGAAUUUCUCAUGUUAAAAAAAACACCCUGAGACAUUUUUGUUGCCGGUCACGCUGAGUCAGUCCGGAUCGGUGAUAGACUCAGCAAGAUGACUCAUUUGCACUCGGUAAUUUGACCCAGCUGCUCUCGCUGGUUCAUCCUUUGCUAAAUCCACACUCUCACUCUUCAGGUAUGAUCUGGGCAUGAGAUGCAGACCCAGCUUUCAGUCUUUACGUGAGAGUUCUGCCAAUAUGUCCCAGAUCUGAGACAAGUAGUCAAGUCAAAUUGCAAAAGCAUUGACAUGGCUUAAUGAGUAGUUCUGAUAAGGCCUGUCAUUGGCGAUUGUUACUUCACCAUCUUUUCGGAAAAUGAGCGAACUCUUCAGUGACACUUCGUGCAGACAACUAUCUCAAUUUAUUGUUGCUAUAAUUUUUUUUCAUGUUUCGGAGUAUAUUCUAGCCGUCUGUAGUCAAGGGAGAUCAAAUGUGACUCUGAAAUCUCUUUUGAUCAGCAAAAAUUAUGUUGUGGCAAUGAUAUGCUCGUUGCUUGAGUACUGGCUUGAAAUCACCUUUUUUCCCGGAUUGAAAGAGUAUUGGUGGGUAAGCAACUCAGGCCUUUUCAUGGUUGUCUUUGGAGAAACGAUACGGAAAGUGGCAAUGGUAACAGCUGGUCAUGCUUUCACACAUUUGAUUAAAACCCAUCAUGAGGAGCAACACAGACUAAUAACUCACGGAAUUUAUGGAUUUGUGAGGCAUCCAGGUUAUUGCGGCUUUUUCAUCUGGUCAGUUGGCACUCAGAUUAUGCUGUUGAAUCCCAUUUGUACCCUAGCAUUUGCUGUGGUUGUUUGGAAGUUCUUUGCUGGACGCAUACCAUAUGAAGAAUUUUUCUUGAGACAGUUUUUUGAUGAUGAAUAUGAAGAGUAUGCUCAAAGGGUCCCGUCUGGUGUACCAUUUGUGAAGUGAAGAUCUUUCCUUGUCUAUCAUUCAUGCUUUCAUCAGUCAUUGACAGGAUUUUCUUAGAAGCAGGUGAAGGUGGUGGGUCGAGUAUAUUUUGUGGCUGAGGGAUUAGAAUUGAUGCCAUUAAAGCUAGCAACACUGCCAACAGGAAACACAUAACACACUGGUUAAUUGCGGCUUACAUUUGGUCAGUUGGCACUCAGAUUAUGCUGUUGAAUUCCAUUUGUACCCUAGCAUUUGCGGUGGUUGUUUGGAAGUUCUUUUCUGGACGCAUACCAUAUGAAGAAUUUUCUUAAGAGAGUUUUUUUAUGACAAGUAUGAAGAAUAUGCUCAAAGGGUCCCGUCUGGUGUAACAUUCGUGAAGUAAAGACCCUUCCGUGUCUGUCAUGCAUGUUUUCAUCAGUGGCCAACAGGAUUUGCUUAAAAGCAGGUUAGUAGUUCUCCAAUAUUACCUGAGUACUAAAGCUUAAUGCUUAGUUGCUGAAAUUUUCUUUUGUUUCCAUGGUGUAGCAUUUGAGCACAUGUAUUUUGAGUUUAAUUUUGGCAUUUCUAGUUGUAAUGGGUGAAUGCCAAGUAUGUUUUACUGGUUUGGUAGAUAAAGGAUGCCAUGGACACACUUUUAUGCUUUCUUUCUAGCUGCUUAAAGCUUCGGGAGAUACCGCUGUUUGUACUUAAUUGCACCCUGAAAAUAAUACACACAGAAUAUGUUCAAAAUCAAUGAAAUUUAUACUUGAAUGUCGGGUGUGGCUUAUGUAAAAUCAAAACCUUACCUGAAAAUUUACUCUCGUGUGUUUUUCUUUAUGUUCAUUACUCGUACCAAUUUUCCAAACAGCGUUGAAUGGUAGCAAAAACUAAUGAAGAAAAGAACAUUUUUUUAAGCGUGGAUGCAUCAUAGAUAUUUGCAUUUGACAUUACAAUUUCCAAUAAAUAAUAUAAGUCCACACAACCUGCUGUGAUCUCGUACCAAACAACUAGUGUGACAUUAGCAAUAUGAGUGGUGGAUUUCACCCUUUGUCACUUUAAAGAAGACGAAAAGAAGUUGCACUGAAUUAUGUAUUUCCUGGCAAUGCCAUGAAUCCCUUGAUUUAUGCUGACCAAACAUUUGGGUCUUUGGAAGGAGUAGGAAUCGGGACCUGAGUUGUAAAACUGGCUUCUGAAUGAGAGUGCAUUAUUUAGGGAUUAGGCUAUGUUUAGUUCAUCUAGUAUUUAAUUACUGAUCCUUGGUAAGCCUACAUGUAAAAAGAUAAAUAAUAUUAUCCAAAAAUAUACUCAAAACAAACUCAUUCUAGAUUUAUCUCAAUACAUGUAUACAUAGAUUUCUUUCUAAUUUUUAGGUUGUGAUCAACGAUAAUGUCUAACAAAAAAAAAGAAAAAAGAAUUGAUAUUGAUAAGGUUUGACCACAGAAGUCAUACCUAGCCUAUUAUUUUUGAGAGUUGGGACAGUGAAAGUCUUUGGAGCUCUGAAAGUAUUGCAGAUCAAUUUCUGAAACCUGUAGAAAAUGAAGUAAUCAAAUUCAUAAGAUUUACCGUGCUUUGAAAUGGGAAACCAACCAACCUAGAUCAAGUUAUGGUGCUGUAUAAUGCAAAACAACCAAAAAUAAAACCAUUUUAUACAAAGACAAGAAGUUUAGCAAAGAAGAAUGGAAAGGGAAGUUUAACAUUAAAAACUGAUGCUCAGGAAUGAAGAAUACAUGGGGAUCUUAUCCAAAUAGGAUUACAUAUGAAGUUACUUGGGCAGAAAUAAUCAGGAGAAAGGCAAGCCUUAAAUAUAAACUAUAUAGGUCUGGAUAUAUUGUCCACUUGAUAAACUGAGUUGCUGAUGUGAGUUGUAGUUUAUGAGUAGACUAACUUUUCCAGACUGAUCUGAGAGAGUACAGGCUCCCCCGUUACAGAGUUGCAUGCAUGUGUGUCCCUCAGGCACAGGCCAGAACGAGCAUGUGCUACUAGUUAUGGCUGAUAGCUUCUCUUCCAUUAACUUUAUAAGCGUUGAGGAUGGUCAUGUCUUUUAAUGAUAUCGGGUAAAAAGUGAUUGACAAAAGUACAAGGGAUAUGUAACUUAAGAAAAUGAGUUAUUCUGAAAUAGAUAAACUGGAUUUCAGAAAAUGUUGGAGAAAACGAGGAUAUGGUUCCCAUUAAGAUGAUGAUGACAUAACAUCCCAACUAAUGCCACCCGUAGAUGGGAGGAGGAGGAGGAGGAGUUGGUUCUGAUGUCGGUGAUAUCUGAGCUUUUGCUGGAGCUGGUAUAGGGGCUGGUGGUCUGCGUACUGGUGGUUUUCGCCGUCUGCGAAGAGUCUGAAGUACCCUUGUGGGUCGUCUGGGAAGUGUCUCUGAUACUUCUUGGUGAACUAACCCACUUGGUUGAGAGUGUAUUAGUCGGCCGUUUAAAAUCUCGAGGUACUGGGACUUGGAAGUCAAGGCUAUAGUAGCUAGCAUGGCCACUAACAGCAGACUUGCCACGUUUUUGAAUCCCAUUAGUUUCAACACACAACUCUAAGAAGAAACCAGAACUUGUGAGCAGAAACAGAGUUGGUAGAAAUUAUGGUAGGUUUGUGAGGGUAUUAUAUUAUGGAGUUAAGGAGUUUGAUUAAGUUAAGCUAGUACUAUUAAUUUUUCCUGAUCUUUAUUUAAUUAAUAAUGUCAUUGUACGGUUUUGUACCCACUUGAUUUAUAAUUUACUCGUAAUAACUAAUAAGCAAGAGACGCAAACUUGGUCA